Molecule: ribosomal RNA, 1076 nt
Filed under: Venturia asperata
Lineage: Eukaryota; Fungi; Ascomycota; Dothideomycetes; Venturiales; Venturiaceae
Description: SSU rRNA
Rfam family: Eukaryotic small subunit ribosomal RNA
Source: RNAcentral
AUGCAUGUCUAAGUAUAAGCAACUAUACUGUGAAACUGCGAAUGGCUCAUUAAAUCAGUUAUCGUUUAUUUGAUAGUACCUUACUACUUGGAUAACCGUGGUAAUUCUAGAGCUAAUACAUGCGAAAAACCCCGACUUCGGAAGGGGUGUAUUUAUUAGAUAAAAAACCAAUGCCCUCCGGGGCUUCCUGGUGAUUCAUAAUAACUAAACGAAUCGCAUGGCCUUGCGCCGGCGAUGGUUCAUUCAAAUUUCUGCCCUAUCAACUUUCGAUUGUAGAGUAGUGGUCUACAAUGGUUUCAACGGGUAACGGGGAAUUAGGGUUCGACUCCGGAGAGGGAGCCUGAGAAACGGCUACCACAUCCAAGGAAGGCAGCAGGCGCGCAAAUUACCCAAUCCCGACACGGGGAGGUAGUGACAAUAAAUACUGAUACAGGGCUCUUUUGGGUCUUGUAAUUGGAAUGAGUACAAUUUAAAUCCCUUAACGAGGAACAACUGGAGGGCAAGUCUGGUGCCAGCAGCCGCGGUAAUUCCAGCUCCAGAAGCGUAUAUUAAAGUUGUUGCAGUUAAAAAGCUCGUAGUUGAAUUUUGGGCCUGGCUGGCCGGUCCGCCUCACCGCGUGCACUGGUCCGGCCGGGCCUUUCCUCCUGGGGAUCCGCAUGCCCUUUACUGGGUGUGUUGGGGAACCAGGACUUUUACUUUGAAAAAAUUAGAGUGUUCAAAGCAGGCCUUUGCUCGAAUACAUUAGCAUGGAAUAAUAGAAUAGGACGGCUUUCCUAUUUUGUUGGUUUCUAGGGGAGCCGUAAUGAUUAAUAGGGAUAGUCGGGGGCAUCAGUAUUCAAUUGUCAGAGGUGAAAUUCUUGGAUUUAUUGAAGACUAACUACUGCGAAAGCAUUUGCCAAGGAUGUUUUCAUUAAUCAGUGAACGAAAGUUAGGGGAUCGAAGACGAUCAGAUACCGUCGUAGUCUUAACCAUAAACUAUGCCGACUAGGGAUCGGGCGAUGUUACUAUCUUGACUCGCUCGGCACCUUACGAGAAAUCAAAGUUUUUGGGUUCUGGGGGGAGUAUGGUCGCAAGGC